RNAcentral lists this non-coding RNA (21 nucleotides) under Arabidopsis thaliana (thale cress). Lineage: Eukaryota; Viridiplantae; Streptophyta; Magnoliopsida; Brassicales; Brassicaceae. The record is from RNAcentral.
UGAAAUUGCCUAAAUAACUUA